RNAcentral lists this non-coding RNA (21 nucleotides) under Mus musculus (house mouse). The record is from RNAcentral. Lineage: Eukaryota; Metazoa; Chordata; Mammalia; Rodentia; Muridae.
ACAAAGUGAGUUCCAGGACAG